This 442-nucleotide ribosomal RNA is filed under the name uncultured Lysobacterales bacterium. Its description in RNAcentral is "bacterial SSU rRNA". It matches the Rfam family "Bacterial small subunit ribosomal RNA", at positions 85 to 523 of the family's 1533-position model. Lineage: Bacteria; Pseudomonadati; Pseudomonadota; Gammaproteobacteria; Lysobacterales. The record is from RNAcentral.
UGGGUGGCGAGUGGCGGACGGGUGAGGAAUACAUCGGAAUCUACUCUGUCGUGGGGGAUAACGUAGGGAAACUUACGCUAAUACCGCAUACGACCUACGGGUGAAAGCAGGGGAUCUUCGGACCUUGCGCGAUUGAAUGAGCCGAUGUCGGAUUAGCUAGUUGGCGGGGUAAAGGCCCACCAAGGCGACGAUCCGUAGCUGGUCUGAGAGGAUGAUCAGCCACACUGGAACUGAGACACGGUCCAGACUCCUACGGGAGGCAGCAGUGGGGAAUAUUGGACAAUGGGCGCAAGCCUGAUCCAGCCAUACCGCGUGGGUGAAGAAGGCCUUCGGGUUGUAAAGCCCUUUUGUUGGGAAAGAAAUCCAGCUGGCUAAUACCCGGUUGGGAUGACGGUACCCAAAGAAUAAGCACCGGCUAACUUCGUGCCAGCCGCCGCGGUAA